This 215-nucleotide ribosomal RNA is filed under the name uncultured fungus. RNAcentral's name for it is "partial small subunit ribosomal RNA". The stretch from base 91 to 215 matches the Rfam family "Eukaryotic small subunit ribosomal RNA", at positions 738 to 864 of the family's 1831-position model. The record is from RNAcentral. Lineage: Eukaryota; Fungi.
GACCUGGCCGGGCGGUCCGCCUAACGGUGUGUACUGUCUGGCCGGGCCUUACCUCUUGGUGAGCUGGCAUGCCCUUAGUUGGGUGUGUCGGGGAACCAGGACGUUUACCUUGAGAAAAUUAGAGUGUUCAAAGCAGGCCUACGCCGGAAUACAUUAGCAUGGAAUAAUAAAAUAGGACGUGCGGUUCUAUUUUGUUGGUUUCUAGAGUCGCCGUA